RNAcentral lists this ribosomal RNA (52 nucleotides) under uncultured Tomentella. RNAcentral's name for it is "partial 28S ribosomal RNA". Lineage: Eukaryota; Fungi; Basidiomycota; Agaricomycetes; Thelephorales; Thelephoraceae. The record is from RNAcentral.
UUGAUCUCAAAUCAGGUAGGACUACCCGCUGAACUUAAGCAUAUCAAUAAGC